GACUUUUGGGACAGUCAUAUACAAAGUCCUUCUCAAAUAUGAAAGGGUCAUAUAAAUGUUCACUUUCAUUAUUAUUGGCUGUGGAUCAACUAUGAUGUUGAGGAAAGCUUGAAUGUGAAGAACUGCAUGACCAAAGAUUUCUUCAGAUCUAUCCAUGAGCCUCAGGUUAAGAACCCUGGAAGUCUUACCUAAAGCUCCAUCCAAUUGAUUCUGUGGCUUGUUCAGGAGAAAAAAUAUACAAGAAUUUUGCAUGAAUUAGGUUCCAGAAAAAGUUAUAACGGGAAUAAAAAUAAACCAGUA
Molecule: long non-coding RNA, 300 nt
Filed under: Monodelphis domestica (gray short-tailed opossum)
Lineage: Eukaryota; Metazoa; Chordata; Mammalia; Didelphimorphia; Didelphidae
Description: lncRNA (ENSMODG00000035698.2)
Source: RNAcentral